RNAcentral lists this ribosomal RNA (230 nucleotides) under uncultured bacterium. Its description in RNAcentral is "partial 16S ribosomal RNA". It matches the Rfam family "Bacterial small subunit ribosomal RNA", at positions 562 to 791 of the family's 1533-position model. The record is from RNAcentral.
AAAGGGCGCGUAGGCGGCGUUUUAAGUCGGGGGUGAAAGCCUGUGGCUCAACCACAGAAUGGCCUUCGAUACUGGGACGCUUGAGUAUGGUAGAGGUUGGUGGAACUGCGAGUGUAGAGGUGAAAUUCGUAGAUAUUCGCAAGAACACCGGUGGCGAAGGCGGCCAACUGGACCAUUACUGACGCUGAGGCGCGAAAGCGUGGGGAGCAAACAGGAUUAGAUACCCCGGU